RNAcentral lists this long non-coding RNA (2130 nucleotides) under Callithrix jacchus (white-tufted-ear marmoset). RNAcentral describes it as "lncRNA (ENSCJAG00000079898.1)". The record is from RNAcentral. Lineage: Eukaryota; Metazoa; Chordata; Mammalia; Primates; Cebidae.
AUGGGAGCCACUGCAACCUGGCAUUGCCAGCAUCUCCGGCAGAUCCAGGACCCAGGGAUGAAACUGCUGCUUGUGGUGGAUGGCGGAAGACUCAGGGACCCCCAAAACAUGAUGGACGCAGUUUGGAAAGCACUGAAGUUUAGCAGCAGGAUGGCAAAUGGGCCAGGGGUGUUGGCUCAACCCUUCUCCCCAUCACAGCUCUUUCCUGUACCGCUUGCUGAAGGCUGUUCAGAGGUGUGGCAUGGACUAGAGAGGAGGGGAGGAGUUCUGUGUUGCAAGCAGCAACUUCUGGAAGGUCCUGGAAGGUUUCACCAGGUCCAUCGUAACCUGCAGAGAGCCCAGGCUCCAAUGCUGCCUCUGCCCCUGACCACUGAGCCCUCUGGGUGGACCCAGUCUCCUCCCUUCCCAGACCUUGGCUUCCUCACCUGUGGGAACAGGGGCUUGACCUUGAGGUCUUUGUUGCUCUCAGGUUGUGCCUUUCCAGUUUAAGAACCUGAGAUCCUUUUCCUCUGGCAGAAAAACCAGGCUCCCCAGGACCUGUCCCAUACCCAGCCAGCGGGACAUUUCACGUCUGUUGCAGAUGCUCUUGCUGCCUCUUCUCAUCCCCUUGGCAUGCUGGGUGAACUUCCCAUGGGCAGCACCUGUGAGCCUUCACUUGAGGAUUCUCUCUUGGGCUGCGCUAUCCAAAUACAGGCAAGUUGGAUGUGCUGGAGAAUUAACGCCCCCUAGGAGCAGCUCUCCGUCAUGACAACAGGAGGUGGUGGGCAAGUGCUGCAGCUCCCCGGGUGGGAAAACUCCGAGCCCUGUGCUCUAUGCUGGCCCCAGAGCCCUCACACGAUGGCGUUCCAAUUGCCCACAGCAGUAAGGGCUUCAUGACACACCCUAUGUGGCUGCCUUCUCUGCUUUCCUUCCCACAUCCUGAUUGAUGUUUCCUGGGAUCUCCCCUCAAAUCAACAGUCAGCACUCAAAUCCUUGUCUUAGGGUCUGCUUCUAGGGGAAAUCCAAACCAAGAUAGUAUCUGCCUAAGCCACUUUUUGUUUGUGAUCUUUGGUGCAAGGUAGUGUAAUGGACAGACCCCUAGGCGGGGUGCUGGGGGAACCCUUGUUUUUCACUUGUGACCUUGGGACCAGGUAACAGGAAUGAAGAGGUAGGGCUGAGGCCUGAUCUGCUUUUAGCGGGGCUGUGGAGCAAGACUGUAGAUGCUCUCUGGUCAUGACUUCCCCUUUGGGGCAGACCCUCCUCUGCCAGGCUGGCCUCAGACACUGGGGCCCUUGCAGACACCCUCGUUGAUGGAGCAGGUCUCAGAGCAGCUGCUGGGGUGGAGUCACACCUCUGCACCUGGCAGCUGGCCUCCUGCACCACCUUUUCCACUGUCUCCUUCUCUCCUUGGAGCCCAAAGAACUUCUUGGAACCUACCAGGUAGUGGGAGUGAGGGCAGCCGUGGUGAUCAGGUGCCCAUCUGGCUUCAGCAGGCUGGCCAGGCUCCAAGGGGCCACCCAGUACAUGUCCACAUAGAGACAGGUGCUCUUCAGGGGCACCUGGGCUGACUCAAGUGGAUGCGGCUUGGUCACAUCACACUUCAGCAACCACGUGAUUGUCCAGCAAAGCUGGUUCUCCUUCUCCUGCCACUCGCUGCUAUGGAAGAGGGUCACAGAAAUGAUAUGAUUAUGACAGUAGCCCCUCAGCCCUCACCACUAUCCUCUGGGCAAAGCCUGUGACUUAACCUGUUCAGCAUCUCUUUGAGCAAGAUAAUGUUUUUUCCAUUAUACAGAUGAAGAAAGUGAGGCACAGACUUGCCCAAAUCAAUACCCCUGUGCAUUUGCUUUUGCUGUAUUUGGAUCCCUUUUCUGUAUUUCUGUAUUCUGUAUUUUGGAUUCCUAUAUGUGGGAUUCCUGGGUCAGAGUUCUAAAAAGUUUCAGUACAACAAAUAAGUUAGGUAAAUAAUCACCAAAUUAUUUUUUCCAAAAGAAAAAACAGUGUUUUCUUCCUUUUAAUUUUCUAGGACAAAUAUUUAAUUUUUCUCUAAUGAAACGUGAGAUAAUGUAACAUAAUGUAGAAUAAUAAAUGUGGUAUUUUUUCUUUGGUCUUUCUUCUAUCUAGGUUUAGAAAAUCCUCUCUUAUCAGAAGUUU